Coregonus clupeaformis (lake whitefish) is the source of this 399-nucleotide long non-coding RNA. RefSeq lists it as uncharacterized. NCBI's taxonomy places the organism in Eukaryota, Metazoa, Chordata, Actinopteri, Salmoniformes, Salmonidae. The transcript is spliced from 5 exons. The record is from RefSeq and is a predicted model, not a curated record.
GGGCUGAACAACACUCUUUAUAAAGAGGGAUACAGGCCUGAAGCGAGACAAGGCACCGGACACCUGAAGUAGAGAGCCUUUCCAAGGGGUGACCAACAACAGAUUUCAGGAUGGGGGGGCACAUUGAGUUUGGGGCGGCAGCUUCCUUUCUGCGUAAAUCAGACAAGGAGCGUAUGGAAGCCCAGACUCGAGCCUUUGACAUAAAGAAGGAGUGCUAUGUGCUAUGCUGUUACGGUGAAGGAGAUUGACUGCCACCCCCAGAAUCUGCCACAGUUUUAUAAAAUUGAGGACAUGGAGGAACAAGCCAAUUCCAAUUUGGGCAAGAUUCAGCAUUUUACAUUUUUAGUCAUUUAGCAGACACUCUUAUCCAGAGCGACUUACAGUUAGUGAGUGCAUACA